GUGGAGCCAAAGAGCUCUGGGCGGUGAGCAAGCCUCCUACUUUCCUGUCCCCUGCACCCACCUUUUAAACACGUAUUCUGUCUCUUUCUAACUCCUUUGUCUCCUCUGGACUCCGGGUUCCUGCCGGGUGGUGUAGGGCUGGUUUCCCCAACAUCUGGUGCCGAAUGCAGGGCUCCCCGUAAUCUCUACAAAUAAUCUGGUGAAGGAACGCCAGAGCGUGGAAAGUGGAGGAGGACUGAGGAAGGAAGCCUGAGUACGUUUUCACUUCAAGCUCUACGGCUGACUCUUUUCGUUUUCCUGCAGAGAUAUUGCUGGAGCAUGACAUAUAAGAUUCAUUUCAAAAAGUGAAUCUGAGAAAAUAUAGAAGCUGUGACCUUAAUAGUUUACAUUAAAAAAAAAAAGACUACCAAAGUGUGGAUAAUUGCAAGGGGCAGAAGAGCAGUUAUAAUGGCCUUCAUCAAUGUUUGUCAACUACCCAUAGCAAAACCUGUCAAUGAAAUAAAUGUGGCAAAGCUUUUGAGUUGUGCUCAGUCUUUACUGAACAUAAGAAAAUUUUCAGCAUAGAGAAAUGCUACAAAUGUGAAGAAUGUGGCAAAGACUGUAGGUUGUUCUCAGAUAUUACUAUACAGAAGUGAAUUCAUACUGCAGAGAGAUGCUACAGACAUCAACAAUGUGGCAAAGCCUGAAAAUAUCUCAAAUGUUACUGAAUAUAAGAGAGCUCAUGCUGGGAUAUCUAACAAAUGCAAUGAAUGUGGCAAAACAUUUACCUGCUCCUCAACCUUUAUUAAACAAAGAGAAAUCAUACUGGAGACAAACCCUACAUAUGCGAAGAAUGUGGCAAAGCCUUUAAGUGCUUCUCUGACCUUACUAAUCAAAAGAGAAAUUAUACUGGAGGGAAAUCUUGCAAAUGUGAGGAAUGUAGCCUAUAGGUUGUUCUCAGAACUUGCUAAAUAUAAGAUAAUUCACACCGGGGAGAAACUCUACAAACGUGAAGAAUGUGAUGAAGACUAUAGUUGCUUCUCAGACCUUACUAAACAUGAUAAUUCAUAGUGGAGAGAAACCUUACAAAUGUAUUGAAUAUAAUAAAAGCUUUUAUGUGGUUCUCAGCCCUUAGUAAACACAAGUGUACAUCUGUGAAGAACAUAACCAUACAUCUGUGAAGAAUGUGGAACUGCCUUUACCUGCUUCUUCACCCUUAUUAACCACAAGAGAAUUAAUAUGGAAAAGAGACCUUCUGAAUGUGGAGAAUGUGGCAAAACCUUUAAGUGCUUCUCAGACAUUACUAAUCAUUAGAUAAUUCACACUGGAGAAAAACCCUACAAAUGUGAAAAAUGUGGCACAGCAUUGAGUUUUUCUCACACCUCAUUAGAGAAAAGAGAAUUCAUACUAGAGAGUAGAUUUACAAUUGUUAAAAAUGUGGAAAGUCUUUAACAAGUUCUCAUACUGUGUUCAACAUCAGAGUCUUCAUACCGAACAAAUGCAGUAUAAAGGUAAUGACUGUUAAUUCCAUGGCAGAAGGCCCAAACCAGAGAACUGGCCAGACAGUUCUGUUGCACCUAAGCAGCAUGUGCACUUUUCCAAGCACAUCUCAUUCCCUUCCUGACUCCAAUUAUUUCAACAGCACCUUCUCAUUUGCACCAGCCCAUUUUUGAGCCCCAACAAACUAUGAUUUUGAAAUACCUCUGAAGACCGCAUGAGCUAACCACUAAGGGUGACAGUGCUCUAGCCUACUCAAUUUCACCUGAGGGCAGAAACAAGGCAGGAGAGUCUUGUCACCUGGAUUCGGUGCUUAGGAUACUUUACAAUCUUCUUUGGAUGCAUGGCCAAGUCAGAAGGGUAACAUCAUCUGGGGACAGACUCAAGUAAUAUGGCACCACGUCUAUGGUAGAAAAGGUUGAAGAAAAACAGGAGAAUCACAUCACCUAGGUGUUGGGCUUAGCAAUAUGAAAUAAUCCCCUCUUUUGGCCAACUCCAGAAUAAAGAAGUGUGUUGCAUUACCUAGGUUUUGCCCUCAGUGGUAUGUCACAAUUCCCUUAGUUGGCAG
This 2044-nucleotide long non-coding RNA is filed under the name Homo sapiens (human). Its description in RNAcentral is "HSALNT0409243". Lineage: Eukaryota; Metazoa; Chordata; Mammalia; Primates; Hominidae. The record is from RNAcentral.